RNAcentral lists this ribosomal RNA (465 nucleotides) under uncultured Desulfocapsa sp. Its description in RNAcentral is "bacterial SSU rRNA". It matches the Rfam family "Bacterial small subunit ribosomal RNA", at positions 923 to 1382 of the family's 1533-position model. The record is from RNAcentral. Lineage: Bacteria; Pseudomonadati; Thermodesulfobacteriota; Desulfobulbia; Desulfobulbales; Desulfocapsaceae.
GCACAAGCGGUGGAGUAUGUGGUUUAAUUCGACGCAACGCGCAGAACUUACCUGGUCUUGACAUCCCGGGAAUUUCCUUGGAAAAGAGGGGAAGUGCCUCGCAAGAGGAGCUUGGAGACAGGUGCUGCAUGGCUGUCGUCAGCUCGUGUCGUGAGAUGUUGGGUUAAGUCCCGCAACGAGCGCAACCCUUGCCUUUAGUUGCCAUCAUUUAGUUGGGCACUCUAAAGAGACUGCCGGUGUCAAACCGGAGGAAAGGUGGGGAUGACGUCAAGUCCUCAUGGCCUUUAUGACCAGGGCUACACACGUACUACAAUGGCCGGUACAAAGGGCAGCCACUUAGCGAUAAGGAGCCAAUCCCGUAAAGCCGGUCUCAGUCCGGAUUGGAGUCUGCAACUCGACUCCAUGAAGUUGGAAUCGCUAGUAAUCGCAGAUCAGCACGCUGCGGUCGAAUACGUUCCGGGCCUU